CCCGCCUGGCAAAAGCAGGCGGCGGCUGCUGCCGGCAGACACGGCCGGCUCACUUGCACCACGCCCCCCUCUGUGCCUGAGGGCACCAUGAGCGGCCGAGUUGGGGACCUGAGUCUCCAGCAGCAGGAGGUGCUGGCCAGGUUCCGGGAGAAUGUCCAGGACCUGCUGCCCGCCUUGCCUAAAGCCGAUGACUACUUCCUCCUGCGCUGGCUCCGAGGUCAAGAGAUACCUCCUUGAGGAAGCUUGCCUCAACAUGCUGCAUGCACUGAGUCAGAUGCCUCCUGGAGUUUUUCUUACCACCCUGCGCUCAUCCACAUUGUUCCAAAUAUCCAUGGUCUGUUUCACAUGGCUUAUCCAGAGACACCGUGAAUGGAGGAACUCCAGCAGUGUUUUGUGGAGACACUGUGGCCAGCCCACUAAGGCAUGUCUUGUAUUUCUCUCCUUUCUUUUCUCUCCCUUUACCCUUGCUGGGCUGGGAUUACAUCUCCAAGAAAGCAUUAGCACAUAUUGCCUUAGGCUCUGUUUUCCAGGGAUCAGACUGAGAUACUAGCUGUGUGACCUUGAGCAACUUUCUUAACCUCUCUGAGCUUCUGAUCCUUCAUCUAUAAAAGGGAGAUAAUAGUGCAGCAUCUUUCACAGGUGUUGUGGUAUUUAACAAGACAGCACAGGCUAAGUACUUUCAUUAGUAUCAUUACUGAAUCAGGCACUAGGUCCUAUCAUGUGAAAACACUUUUUUAACAUUGAUUGCCAUGAAUAUUGUCAACUGGGUUUCGGGUACUAUGCUAGUCUCUGCCCUCAAGGACCUAGAAAGUGAGAGAGAAGUAAUUGUGAAAUUAUACUCAGUAUAAUCAGAGUUUAAUGGAGGAGGGAGUGCACAAGACUAAGAGUCUGUGACACCUAAUCAGUCUUGGUAGUCAGGGAUGGUGUUUCAGAGGAAGAAUCUAAGGUCUGAGGGACAUGUAGUUGUUAACCAGAUGGUGGACAGGCAGAGGGCAAAGUAUUCUUUUUUUUUUUUUUUGUAGAGAGAGAGAGUCUCACUUUAUGGCCCUCGGUAGAGUGCAGUGGCCUCACACAGCUCACAGCAACCUCCAACUCCUGGGCUUAAGUGAUUCUCUUGCCUCAGCGUCCCGAGUGGCUGGGACUACAAGACCACAACGCCCAGCUAUUUUUUGGUUGCAGUUUGGCUGGGGCCGGGUUUGAACCCGCCACCCUCGGUAUAUGGGGCCGGCGCCCUACCCACUGAGCCACAGGUGCCGCCCCAGGGCAAAGUAUUAUUAGCAGAGGGCAUGGCGUGGGCAAAGGAUUUGUGUUGAGGGAAAACAUUUCAAAUAUACUGGCUCUCCCUCUCAUGAACCAGGUAAAUUACAGGAAAAACAAAAUGGAUAAAUAUGCACCAACAAAAAUGCAUAAACGGGCAGCACCUGUGGCUCAAAGGAGUAGGGCGCCAGCCCCAUAUGCCGGAGGUGGUGGGUUCAAACCCAGCCCCGGCCAAAAACUGCAAAAAAAAAGAAAAGAAAAAAGAAAAGAAAUGCAUAAACGUGGUCUCUGCCAAGGAGCGUGUGGGUUGUGGAGCUGUACAAUUCAAUACAGUAGCUAUGGCGGCAUGUGACUAUUUAAAUUAAUGAAAAUUAAACAAAAUUUAAGAUUUAUUUCCUCAGUUCCGCUGAGCUCAUUUCCAGUGCUCCAUAGUCAUUUGUGGGCAAUGUUGGACUGUGCAGACAUAGAACACCUCUAUCACUGCAGAAAAUUCUACUGGGCAGAGCUGCCAAAGAUUCUGAGAACAGGCAGUCUAAUCAGGACAGAUUUCCUGGAGAAGGGGACAGAAGGGCAUAGAAAAGAGGUUUGGGAAGGUCUCUGGGUGGUGGCAUUGCCUUCUGUCCUCAGGAAGAGAAAAUCCAGAGCUGACAGGAGGGGCGGGGGUAGUGGCUGUAGAAACAGUGUACAACCUGACACCUCUUUGAUCAGGGUACAAUCACUGAGAGGGAGCACACAGGAAUGCAGGGGGAACCCGCUAAGGUCAAGCUGAACUAGGAAGAACCACCCUUUCUGGGGCCAGGAGGACACUGGGAGUUGUAGUUUGGCACUUCUGGACACACACACCCACCCAAAGCUGGAGAGGGAUGGAAAAGCUGAAACACUGGACUGGGCUGGAGGACAUCUUUUUGGGCAGGUGGUCAAGGCUGGGGACACAUCUGGGUUUGGGGGCCUUGCAAGGGUGAGGAAUGGGCCUUAGGGAGAGGUGGAAGGAUGACUAAUUCCCUUCAGUGUUUAUGUUCUGAGAUAGAAAGUGCCAUGACAGAAAACUCAGUUGUCUGAGAAACAUGGAAUAUUUAGUUAAGCAGAACCUUCAGCCCACUUAUUCUUGUUCAUGGGAAUUUUCCCACCAGAGAUAAGAAGUUCUCUAGCAGGUGCGUCCAACCUUGUCUUUUCUCUAUUACACAUUGGAACUUCUUCUCUGGCCAUACAGUAUAUACACAAGCACUAGGGAGAGCUGAUUAGCAAAAGAAAAAGGUCCGGCAUACUUUGCAAUACCACAGACAAGCAAAAAAAGUCCUCACGAGAUCAGUGUGCGGCUCAGGGGCCACAGGUUGGACACCCCUGCUCUAAAGUUAGGGAGGAGAAGGAGCAGCAGGUUAUUCAUGCACCCAGCAUCUAUUCAUCCAUCACCUACUGUGUGUGGAGCUCUGCUCUAGGCACUGGAAAUCAGGGGAGUGAAUAAGAGACAAAAGUCUCUCCUUGAGAAGUUCUAGAGAGAAGAGCAGACAAUAAAUGAUUUAUCUUUGCUCAUGUAACUAACAUACAUGUACCAUAUAAAAGCACCACUUAAGGUGGAUUUGAGGGAUUUUAAUUUUCAAUUCGUUCCUGACCUCACAGACUUCUCUUGGAAGUGGCAGUCAUAGGUAAAAGCCACUGGGUUUGGUCCUAUCAAUUAUUAUGCUCAAGAUAUCCAGAUGAUAAAGGAGACCGUCCUAAAACAUAAAAGACUUGAUGAAGCCUCUGCCUCACCACCCCCACCAUUUCUGGAUUUCAUCACUAUGGGAGAGUCUGCUAGGGAGCCUCAGGCUGUUGAUAAAAUGGGGGUGGAGAUCCCAACUUCAAAAAGGUUGUGGUGGAAAAGGAUGUGCAACGUGAGCCGCCCUUGUGCCACACACACACACACACAAAACAUACCUCAACAACUUAGGAGAAAGAUGAGGCAAAAGGGCUCCUGUCAAUUCUGAAGCCACACAAUGUGAAGUUUUUUUUCUCUCUCUUUAGUGAAAUCCAGCCGACUUACAAUAAAGGCACAUAUGAUUUUAGGGCCUCUGGUUAUUCAUGCUUUGCACAUCUUCCUUAGGAGGACAUGUCACAAAUGCAAUUCCAUUUACUCAUGCAAUUGUUUUUUUCCUUUCUUUUCUUUUCUUUUUUU
Molecule: long non-coding RNA, 3409 nt
Organism: Nycticebus coucang (slow loris)
Lineage: Eukaryota; Metazoa; Chordata; Mammalia; Primates; Lorisidae
Exons: 4
Source: RefSeq, a predicted model, not a curated record